CUGAUGCAGUGCCUGACUGUAGUUCUGCAGCUCCACUGAAGAAGAGGCACUGAGGACUAGAGGCAGCCAGGGGAUUGCAACUCAAAGAGGUUUUCUAGAACCAGUUACUUCCAAAUUAUGUUCAAUUAGGCAACAGAACUAAAGAAUAUGCCUCUGAUCUACUUAUUUCUCAGCCUGAAUGCUGACUUCAUAGACUUUCAAAACAAAGUAAUAGGUGAGGAGCAAAGGAAGUAGUUCUGCUGACGGUUCAGGACCUGCUGUGUGGGUAGGGUGGUUCACUAGUCAUCCUGAAAGCUUGAUUAAUGUGAUGAGAAGUGCAUCGCAGGGUAACGAAUGCUGUGUUAUUAGCCACCAAAUGCUCCACACGAUGCUGCAGUCUUUCAGAAGCAAAGGGCACAUUGAAAUAAAAUCACACUAAAAGUGUUCUUCUAGGUUUAUAUCCUAUAAUAGCAAUCGCCGCCUCAAUGCAAGCGUUUCUUAGGAAGGACUGACUGGCUGAGGUUAACUGCCCAGAGUACAGUUGAAGGCCACCAGUUCCUCCCCGCUACUCAUUAAUCCCCAGGAAAUCUCCUGAAUCCUGGCAGUUAUUGUUCAAUCCUUUAUAGACGAUUUUCUGAGUAUUUUGAGUGCUUGUUCUCCCCAGGAACACCUACAGCUGGCCAGAUUGUGUGUGUAUAGAGAAGAAAACUCUUUUUCUUAAAAGUGGAUUGAAUUUCAACCUCCCUAUAAAGACCCCUUAUGGGCCAAUGACUCAGAAAAAGUCACUUUAAUUGCGUUUUGGCUUCUCUCCUUUCUAAGGGAACAAGAGACGAGAGAAGCCAGGGAAAGUCAGGGAGGGAAGACAGAGGAGCCCAGCCACUCACAUUCUUUCUGGCUCCCAGCAAUCACCCAGUCAAAUGUGGGGCUGCUGGUGAGGACAAAAGGACCCGGCAGAACAGGUGCACCUGGGAGGGGGGUUCAGAGCCAAGAGACCAAGAGCCCUCCCUCAGGACAGCCGGGGAGGCCAACUGGACCCCAGACUCAACUCGGCAAAUGGGGGCAACUCCAACGAUCUACUUCCACAACACUGAGUAAUUUCUAGCCACAGAGCCCC
Molecule: long non-coding RNA, 1093 nt
Filed under: Homo sapiens (human)
Lineage: Eukaryota; Metazoa; Chordata; Mammalia; Primates; Hominidae
Description: HSALNT0304540
Source: RNAcentral